This 388-nucleotide ribosomal RNA is filed under the name uncultured bacterium. RNAcentral's name for it is "bacterial SSU rRNA". It matches the Rfam family "Bacterial small subunit ribosomal RNA", at positions 29 to 416 of the family's 1533-position model. The record is from RNAcentral.
AUUGAACGCUGGCGGCAUGCCUUACACAUGCAAGUCGAACGGCAGCACGGGAGCAAUCCUGGUGGCGAGUGGCGAACGGGUGAGUAAUAUAUCGGAACGUGCCCAGUCGUGGGGGAUAACGUAGCGAAAGCUACGCUAAUACCGCAUACGAUCUAUGGAUGAAAGCGGGGGAUCGCAAGACCUCGCGCGAUUGGAGCGGCCGAUAUCAGAUUAGGUAGUUGGUGAGGUAAAGGCUCACCAAGCCGACGAUCUGUAGCUGGUCUGAGAGGACGACCAGCCACACUGGGACUGAGACACGGCCCAGACUCCUACGGGAGGCGAGCAGUGGGGGAAUUUUGGACAAUGGGCGCAAGCCUGAUCCAGCAAUGCCGCGCGCAGGAUGAAGGCC